RNAcentral lists this long non-coding RNA (1184 nucleotides) under Equus caballus (horse). Its description in RNAcentral is "lncRNA (ENSECAG00000051240.1)". The record is from RNAcentral. Lineage: Eukaryota; Metazoa; Chordata; Mammalia; Perissodactyla; Equidae.
CUCAGCCCUGCCCGCGCCGCCGGGGGUCUGGGAGCACGCGGAGGGAGGCUGGAGCGCGGCCGGGCCGGACCCGGGGCUCCCCCCGCCGAUUUUUUUUAUUACUUAUUAGCAACCACACUCUCUGCUCUUGGGACGACCCCUCGCCUUUGAACGUAGCCGGCCCUGUUAUUACCGGUGCUCUGCCGGGGCCUGAGGUUGCUCCCCUGCGCCGAGCGCCGCCGUGGACUGAAGGACAAUCUUUUUCCCCGGCAGCCCUUCGCGCCGACCAGAGUUCGCUCGGGAUGCUCCCUCCCCACCGCCGGGAACCGCCGAGGCCCGAGGAGCCUGCAGCCUUGCGCGGGGGCAGUGGGGCCUGGUACGCUGAUGUCUGUGCCCUGUACGGGUAGGGACGUCGAGGCCAAGAGCGACCGAGCAGCUCCGCGUGGCUGGGGAAGGAACCCAGGGACGCACAACCAGUGAUUUCUAAUCUCUGAAACCAGUGAUUUCCAACUUGUUCGGCCAAGAAACUCUCAGACGUGAAAUCACGUUGCCGCUUAGUGGGUAAGAGGAAAGGCGCUGUGCCCACAGAUAGCGUGUUUGGUUCCGAUCCAGCCUCCCGUACGUACUAGCUGGGUGGCCUCGGACGAGGACUCCACCUCUCCAGGAACCCAGAGCCCCCCCCGCCGAAUGGAGCGUCUACACUAACAUCAUUCCCGACAAGCUAUGGAGAAUUUGCGGAGUUCCAACUCUCCUCUGAACCACUGGGCCCUUUCUCCCCAACUUUUCUCUCUCCCUCAGUUAAUGCUACUGACUUUUCGGAAUAACUGUGGACUCCAAAAAUGGGCCCUAUUUUAGAAACAUUCACAAUGACGCCUCUCUCCAAGCCAAACACCCCAGCUUCAACCAGCUUAUCAUUCUCCUCCAUGAAAGGGUGGAGCUGAAAAACCCCUGCCGAUAGACCAAGUCGACUUCCUUUGUUGGACAGAGUUACAAUAAAUUUAAACUGUCAAAACUGUUUUGGUCUGUCUUUUUUCAGUUUCAAGUUCCCCUCCCCCCCCUCGAUUAGUGUGUGUGCUUAAAUAUUGUGCUCUCACAGUUACCAGGUCUGGGAAUUCUUUACUCCAGAGCCGGCUACAUACACAGCGAUCAGAAUGGCCAGCCACCUACAUCCCAAGGCAGGUUAAUAGCCAGAGGAUUUGGAGGGG